AAGAUUUUAAGUUAAUUAAACUAUUAACCUUCAAAGUUAAAAAUGCUCUGAGUAAAUCUUA
RNAcentral lists this transfer RNA (61 nucleotides) under Mileewa sharpa. RNAcentral's name for it is "tRNA-Trp". Lineage: Eukaryota; Metazoa; Arthropoda; Insecta; Hemiptera; Cicadellidae. The record is from RNAcentral.